RNAcentral lists this ribosomal RNA (497 nucleotides) under uncultured bacterium. RNAcentral describes it as "partial 16S ribosomal RNA". It matches the Rfam family "Bacterial small subunit ribosomal RNA", at positions 28 to 507 of the family's 1533-position model. The record is from RNAcentral.
GAUGAACGCUGGCGGCGUGCCUAAUACAUGCAAGUCGAGCGAACAGACGAGGAGCUUGCUCCUCUGACGUUAGCGGCGGACGGGUGAGUAACACGUGGAUAACCUACCUAUAAGACUGGGAUAACUUCGGGAAACCGGAGCUAAUACCGGAUAAUAUAUUGAACCGCAUGGUUCAAUAGUGAAAGACGGUUUUGCUGUCACUUAUAGAUGGAUCCGCGCCGCAUUAGCUAGUUGGUAAGGUAACGGCUUACCAAGGCAACGAUGCGUAGCCGACCUGAGAGGGGGAUCGGCCACACUGGAACUGGGACACGGUCCAGACUCCUACGGGAGGCAGCAGGAGGGAAUCUUCCGCAAAGGGCGGAAGGCUGACGGAGCAACGCCGGGGGAGUGAGGAAGGGCGUCGGAUCGUAAAACUCUGUUAUUAGGGAAGGACAAAUGUGUAAGGAACUAUGGACGGCUUGACGGUACCUAAUCGGAAGGCCGCGGCUGGGUGGGUG